GAUGAAGAACGUAAGCGAAAUGCGAUAAGUAAUGUGAAUUGCAGAAUUCAGUGAAUCAUCGAAUCUUUGAACGCACAUUGCGCUCCCUGGUAUUCCGGGGAGCAUGCCUGUUCGAGCGUCAUUAUCAACCCUCAAGCCCUGCUUGGUAUUGGGUGCCGUCCCUGCUGUGGACGCGCCCUAAAGACGUUGGCGGCGGUGUCAUACCUCAAGCGUAGUAAAAUCUCCAGCUUUCUUGGUGUGACAUUGCUUUGCCUCCAGAAACCCAUCUUUUUACAGGUUGACCUCGGAUCAGGUAGGGAUACCCGCUGAACUUAAGCAUAUCAAUAAGCGGAGGA
Molecule: unclassified non-coding RNA, 335 nt
Filed under: soil metagenome
Description: partial contains 5.8S ribosomal RNA, internal transcribed spacer 2, and large subunit ribosomal RNA
Rfam family: 5.8S ribosomal RNA (bases 1-121)
Source: RNAcentral